Molecule: ribosomal RNA, 433 nt
Filed under: uncultured bacterium
Lineage: Bacteria
Description: partial 16S ribosomal RNA
Rfam family: Bacterial small subunit ribosomal RNA
Source: RNAcentral
AACGAACGCUGGCGGCAUGCCUAACACAUGCAAGUCGAACGAGACCUUCGGGUCUAGUGGCGCACGGGUGCGUAACGCGUGGGAACCUGCCCUUAGGUUCGGAAUAACUCCCCGAAAGGGGUGCUAAUACCGGAUAAUGUCUUCGGACCAAAGAUUUAUCGCCUUUGGAUGGGCCCGCGUUGGAUUAGCUAGUUGGUAGGGUAAAAGCCUACCAAGGCGACGAUCCAUAGCUAGUCUGAGAGGAUGAUCAGCCACACUGGGACUGAGACACGGCCCAGACUCCUACGGGAGGCAGCAGUGGGGAAUAUUGGACAAUGGGCGAAAGCCUGAUCCAGCAAUGCCGCGUGAGUGAUGAAGGCCUUAGGGUUGUAAAGCUCUUUUACCCGGGAUGAUAAUGACAGUACCGGGAGAACAAGCUCCGGCUAACUCCGUG